GGCAUGGACUCACCUUUGCCCGAAAAUAGAGAAGAAAACUCGCCCAUUUUUGGACAUGGAGCCUUUUAUAGGUGGCUGGCCAGACCACCUUCGGAGGCCAAAGGUGCUCCCUAAACUGCACCAUGUUCGGCGGCGGAACCUGGCUUUCCUUCCUUGGUGCUUUUCUUUCAAAAACUCAAUUUCUUUCUUACUUAAAACCUCAAAAACACAUGAAAACAUUUUAGAAAAACAUAUUUUACCCUUCUAGAGAGUUUCGACAUCUGAGAUUCCGCCAGAAAGCAGGAAUUUCAAUGCCAGAGUCUAGCCGGGUAUUAUACCUCUCCUCUCGAUCUUCAAGAGGUAAGCGUAGAUCCUCACCUUCUUUUAUGUUUUAAGUAAGUUUUGAGGGGUUUUAAGGGUUUUAAUGCAUGUUUAGAGUAGAUGUAAAAUGUUAGGGUUUAUGUUAGUUUAAUGAGAAAUGUGAUGCCAUGUUGAUGUUUGUUGGGGUUUAGACUAGUUUUAUGCCCCUAUAUGCUUGAAUAAGUGUCUAUGCAUGUUUUAGAAGAGUUGAAUGCAUGUUGUGAGGUUUUUGGUGGCUGGAUGUGAGAGGCAGAAUCGGGUUCUGCCCUUUGGGAGAGUCCAGGUUCGGCCGCCGAAGGCAGUUUCGGCCGCUGAACCUGCCUGGGGAGGCAGCCUUUGGCCGCCUAAACUACCCCCGAAAGCAAGGACUUUCGACUCUGGAGGGGAGUUUCGGCCACCGAACCUGCCCCAGAAGGUUGGUGACUUUCGGCUCUAGAGUGAGUUUCGACCGCCGAACCUUGCCCCCGAAAGUGCCUGACUUUCGGAUCUGGAGGGACCUUCGGCCGCCGAACCUGCCGCCGAAAGUCCCCUGUCCAGCCUUCCUUUGUUAGUUUUCUAUGCAUGUUUUGAUGAUGUUUUAGGGGUUUUUGGGGAGAUGUUUAAAGUCUCUAUAGAGUUUGUUUGGUCCCUCAUUUGAGUCUACCUGUGUAGGAUCGGACCCGAGAAACCGAGGAGAUCAGCAGUGUUAGCUGUUUCAGAGUCAGUCAGAGGUGAGUAGAACUGAACUAUGUUUUAAAGUAAAUGAAAUUUUUAGCAUGUUCAUGCAUCACGAAUGCCAUGAUAUGUACUAGGUUGUUUUGCAUUAGAAUUCACGAAUAUGAUACAUUGCAUAAUAUGAUGUUGAUGUGGAUGGAUAUUAGAUGACCCACUAGCCCUCGAUAUGACAUGUUAUGGUACGGUAUGGAAGUCCAGUGAGACCCAUUUUACGCCCACGAUGUGAGAGAAAGACCAGUGAGGCCCAUUCUACGCCCCUGGCACAUUGGAUAUGUUAUGUUAUGUUAUGUUAAGAGAAAGACCAGUGAUGCCCAUUCUACGCCCCUAGCACAGUUGGAUUAUGGAGAGGGUUAUUGGUGACAAGUCCAUCCGUGAUGUGAAUUGUUUGUGUUGUGAUGCAUUUCAUGAAAGCAUAUGUAUUUAAAUUGUUUUACUGUUCUGCUCACUGGGCUUUAGUAGCUCACCCAUUUCCCCUAACUCCCAGGUUUGUAGGAGCACAGUUAGCUAUGAGAAAGUCAACAAGGUUAUGGUAUAGUCUAUGUAAUAGAUUAGUAGUGGACAUGAGAUGACAUAUAAUGUAAUGUAACGUAAUGUAAAGUAAUGUUUUGAGGAUAAUAUUGUGCUUGGCCCUAUUGACAGAUUGUAAAUCUCUGUUGUACAUGAUCUUUAUGUAAAUAUUUUUAAUGAUGUUAUAUGUUGAAUCAAGCUUGAUGUAUAUAAUGUUGACCCAAC
RNAcentral lists this long non-coding RNA (1785 nucleotides) under Manihot esculenta (cassava). RNAcentral describes it as "long non-coding RNA (MESC_LNC002606)". Lineage: Eukaryota; Viridiplantae; Streptophyta; Magnoliopsida; Malpighiales; Euphorbiaceae. The record is from RNAcentral.